GGGAUGGGUUAGAGAAGCGGGUCCGGGACCAUGGCCCGGUCAAAAAAAUGGAAAGCGUUUUAAACGCCAACGAUUACGCAUACGCUGCUUAAAUAAAGCAGCCGUUUGACUGUCCUGAGCCUGCAGGGGACAGAACCAGGCGCCGACAACGCAGGCUACCGACUCUACGGUUUGUUCAGCCACAGGGAAGGGAAUAACAACUGAACUAGCAAGACCGGAUCUCGUCUCAGAGAGCAGGCCAAGCGAAACCUAAAUCUGAGGCUACACCCGUAGAUGCUCUUGCUGGUAUGCUUUCGGACAGGGGUUCGACUCCCCUUGCCUCCACCA
Molecule: transfer-messenger RNA, 327 nt
Filed under: Bacillota bacterium
Lineage: Bacteria; Bacillati; Bacillota
Rfam family: transfer-messenger RNA
About the family: Bacterial tmRNA, also known as 10Sa RNA or SsrA, is named for its dual tRNA and mRNA-like properties.
Source: RNAcentral